GGGUCAAGCUACCCUGCUAACAAAGUUGCUUAGUAAUGAUGUAGGCUCCUCAGGAGCUUUAAGCUAAGGAAAGUUUUCUAAAGACUUAGCUUAUUUUGUAUCUUUUCACUUAGGAAAAGGUUUAGGUGAUUUUUUUCCAUGGGGGCCACCAGCUGAAUGCUGCCCAUGGUAACAGUCAAGGGUCACACCUUCUGAUCUUAGCCAUCUCAAUCAGUGUCUGUCCCAAGAGAGGAGAUUGCCCCACCCCAAGAAGUUUACAGAAAACUGCCUCUUCAAGUGUUUGCCUUACUCAGCUUUUCACUUGUGCCAUUAAGCAAGCACUGUAGCAAAAGCCACUUCCACAUGGCCCAGGCAGGGAGCCCUGCAGCUCCAUGCUCCAUUCUCACUGUACUUGGUAUUAUAUUUUUUAUAAAUAAGAUUUUUAUGUAAAGCUCAGAUUUUGAUUUACAAGGACCUUGCUGCAGUAAAUAUUCCAUCAAUCUUGUGCCACCAGUUCAGCUGUUAGAUAGCACAGUCAAAUCAUUUGCAUCAAAAGGGCAAAUACUUUAUUAAGAUAAUGAAAGGGAACACUACUUCUGCUGUUAGGCACAAGUGUCUGUGCUUUUAAACAAAUUCAAGUAGUAAAAGAGAAAAUCAAGC
Molecule: long non-coding RNA, 639 nt
Filed under: Rattus norvegicus (Norway rat)
Lineage: Eukaryota; Metazoa; Chordata; Mammalia; Rodentia; Muridae
Description: long non-coding RNA NONRATT010233
Source: RNAcentral